RNAcentral lists this ribosomal RNA (520 nucleotides) under uncultured bacterium. RNAcentral's name for it is "bacterial SSU rRNA". It matches the Rfam family "Bacterial small subunit ribosomal RNA", at positions 372 to 883 of the family's 1533-position model. The record is from RNAcentral.
UGGACGAAAGUCUGAUGGAGCAACGCCGCGUGAGCGAAGAAGGCCUUCGGGUCGUAAAGCUCUGUUGUUAGGGAAGAACAAGUAUCGGAGUAACUGCCGGUACCUUGACGGUACCUAACCAGAAAGCCACGGCUAACUACGUGCCAGCAGCCGCGGUAAUACGUAGGUGGCAAGCGUUGUCCGGAAUUAUUGGGCGUAAAGCGCGCGCAGGCGGUCCUUUAAGUCUGAUGUGAAAGCCCACGGCUCAACCGUGGAGGGUCAUUGGAAACUGGGGGACUUGAGUGCAGAAGAGGAAAGCGGAAUUCCACGUGUAGCGGUGAAAUGCGUAGAGAUGUGGAGGAACACCAGUGGCGAAGGCGGCUUUCUGGUCUGUAACUGACGCUGAGGCGCGAAAGCGUGGGGAGCAAACAGGAUUAGAUACCCUGGUAGUCCACGCCGUAAACGAUGAGUGCUAAGUGUUAGGGGGUUUCCGCCCCUUAGUGCUGCAGCUAACGCAUUAAGCACUCCGCCUGGGGAGUAC